AUUGAACGCUGGCGGCAGGCCUAACACAUGCAAGUCGAGCGGAUGAAGGGAGCUUGCUCCUGGAUUCAGCGGCGGACGGGUGAGUAAUGCCUAGGAAUCUGCCUGGUAGUGGGGGAUAACGUCCGGAAACGGGCGCUAAUACCGCAUACGUCCUGAGGGAGAAAGUGGGGGAUCUUCGGACCUCACGCUAUCAGAUGAGCCUAGGUCGGAUUAGCUAGUUGGUGGGGUAAAGGCCUACCAAGGCGACGAUCCGUAACUGGUCUGAGAGGAUGAUCAGUCACACUGGAACUGAGACACGGUCCAGACUCCUACGGGAGGCAGCAGUGGGGAAUAUUGGACAAUGGGCGAAAGCCUGAUCCAGCCAUGCCGCGUGUGUGAAGAAGGUCUUCGGAUUGUAAAGCACGUUAAGUUGGGAGGAAGGGCAGUAAGUUAAUACCUUGCUGUUUUGACGUUACCAGCAGAAUAAGCACCGGCUAACUUCGUG
Molecule: ribosomal RNA, 484 nt
Filed under: uncultured bacterium
Lineage: Bacteria
Description: partial 16S ribosomal RNA
Rfam family: Bacterial small subunit ribosomal RNA
Source: RNAcentral